RNAcentral lists this ribosomal RNA (357 nucleotides) under Triticum aestivum (bread wheat). Its description in RNAcentral is "partial small subunit ribosomal RNA". The record is from RNAcentral. Lineage: Eukaryota; Viridiplantae; Streptophyta; Magnoliopsida; Poales; Poaceae.
AUGGCUUCCUCUGCCGCCGCCGCCACGUCUAGCCUCUCUGGCCAGAUCACAGAACGGCUUACCCGCACCAACUAUCUUCUCUGGCGCACUCAGAUCGCGCCACAGAUCAGAGGGGCCGGCUUCUUUGGGUAUGUGGAUGGAACCAUGCCUGAGCCGGCAAAGCUCGUCGUCAUCAAGGAUAAAGAUGGGAAGGAGGAGACCGUCCCCAACACGCUCCACUCCGUCUGGAUGCGAGAGGAUCAACAGGUACUUGGCUAUUUGCUGAACAACCUGUCUAAAGAUGUACUAGUGCAGGUGACUUCCAUCGGCCAUGCACAUCAACUCUGGUCGGCGCUAGCGAGCAUGUUCUCCUCAUAG